AUUGAACGCUGGCGGCAGGCCUAACACAUGCAAGUCGAGCGGAGCGGCGCACGGGGGAGUAAUGCCUCGGCAUCUGCCUGGUAGUGGGGGACAACGUCCGGAAACGGGCGCUAAUACCGCAUUCUAUCGGAUGAGCCUAGGUCGGAUUAGCUAGUUGGUGGGGUAAAGGCCUACCAAGGAGACGAUCCGGAACUGGUCUGAGCGGAUGAGCAGUCACACUGGAACUGAGACACGGUCCAGACGCCUACGGUAGGCAGCAGUGGGGAAUAUUGGACAAUGGGCGAAAGCCUGAUCCAGCCAUGGCGCGUGUGUGAAGAAGGUCGUCGGAUUGUAAAGCACUUUAAGUUGGGAGGCGUUAACAACAGAAUAAGCACCGGCGAACUGCGUGCCAGCCGCGGCGGUAAUAC
RNAcentral lists this ribosomal RNA (407 nucleotides) under uncultured bacterium. RNAcentral's name for it is "partial 16S ribosomal RNA". It matches the Rfam family "Bacterial small subunit ribosomal RNA", at positions 29 to 526 of the family's 1533-position model. The record is from RNAcentral.